UACGUAGGGGCCUAGCGUUGUCCGGAAUUAUUGGGCGUAAAGGGCUCGUAGGCGGUUUGUCGCGUCGGGAGUGAAAACCUUGGGCUUAACUCAGGGCUUGCUUUCGAUACGGGCAGACUAGAGGUAUGCAGGGGAGAACGGAAUUCCUGGUGUAGCGGUGAAAUGCGCAGAUAUCAGGAGGAACACCGGUGGCGAAGGCGGUUCUCUGGGCAUGAUCUGACGCUGAGGAGCGAAAGUGUGGGGAGCGAACAGG
This 253-nucleotide ribosomal RNA is filed under the name uncultured bacterium. RNAcentral's name for it is "partial 16S ribosomal RNA". It matches the Rfam family "Bacterial small subunit ribosomal RNA", at positions 524 to 776 of the family's 1533-position model. The record is from RNAcentral.